CCCGCCGGCGACCGGCGCACGGGUGAGUAACACGUAUGCAACCUGGCCGCCACAGGGGGGAUAACCCGCGGAAACGCGGCCUAAUACCCCGUGACGCCACCGGAGGGCAUCCUCCGGUGGCCAAAGGAGCGAUCCGGUGGCGGAUGGGCAUGCGGCGCAUUAGCUAGACGGCGGGGUGCGGCCCACCGUGGCGACGAUGCGUAGGGGUUCUGAGAGGAAGGCCCCCCACACUGGGACUGAGACACGGCCCAGACUCCUACGGGAGGCAGCAG
This 272-nucleotide ribosomal RNA is filed under the name uncultured bacterium. RNAcentral describes it as "partial 16S ribosomal RNA". It matches the Rfam family "Bacterial small subunit ribosomal RNA", at positions 84 to 354 of the family's 1533-position model. The record is from RNAcentral.